Long non-coding RNA from Cygnus olor (mute swan), 845 nucleotides. RefSeq lists it as uncharacterized. NCBI's taxonomy places the organism in Eukaryota, Metazoa, Chordata, Aves, Anseriformes, Anatidae. The record is from RefSeq and is a predicted model, not a curated record. The transcript is spliced from 2 exons.
CCUGCGGCCAGCCACGUCACCCCCCUGAGUCACUUCUGCAGGACAAGCCAAAGGGAGCACCAGGGCCCUCCCAGCAUCCCCUAAAUGCACCCCGAAAUUUCUCUUUUUCCAUACACGUUAACAUUCUUUUUUCCAUACACAUUUUCCUUACACAUUAACAUUUAACAACACCAGCCCCGCUCCCCAUCACUAACUCAGCGAGGGAUGGCACUGGGUACGAUGAGCCACAGGGGCUCGCAUCGACAGUGGCUAACGCAGAGCAGCAGCAUUAAUCCUGUUUUUAGUUUCCCUGCCCUGUUCUGCAGAGAGAAGCCCAGCGCAAGAGCUGUCCAGCCUCCUGCUCCUCCACAGAUACAAACUUCAAGCACCACCACGGGGGAAAGCAGGAGGACGAGACACUGACAUGUGCAAAUACAAAAGGAAGGGAAAGGUUCGCUAAUGAGGCUGGGAAUGAGCCCUGCUGCAGGCGAUGCUGGCUGCAGAACCCCGCUGAGCGGAGAAGAUCGCGAAGCAGAUCCCCAUUUCCAAAGCGGUGACAAAUUCCCCCCAGUUCCAGGCUCCGCCGCCCUGCUCGCAGCGGUUCUCCUGCCUGGAGAGACGCCAAACCGAGAGCAAAAACCCCAACGACCGCAAAACCCAGCUCAAAGUUUCCACAGCUUUUAUUGAGAAACGUCCCCAAACAGUGACACACUUACAGAAGGCAACUGAGAUGGCAGGGCAGAAGCUCUCCGCCGAGCUGCUGCUGGGCAGAGGGGAGAAAAAAUGUUAGUGUUAUUUUGGGCAAGCCCUGAGAAUCGCGUGUCUCAUACCUCAUUAAACCCAAGCCAGAAGCGCUGCCCACUGAA